GAGAGGAUGACAGAGAACAGUGGACACACAGUUUAACAUGAUGGACUAUAGGACAGGACUGCUGCUUUUAACUCUCUGCUGGGCAGGUGUUGAUGGUCAGAAUCUGAAGGAAUCUGAACCCGUGGCUAAAAGGCCUGGAGAAUCCCACAGACUGACCUGUACAGCCUCUGGAAUCAUAUGGCUCACAUUCAGCAGCUAUGCUAUGGCUUGGAUCAGACAGGCCCCUGGAAAAGGACUGGAGUGGAUCGCUUAUAUUGACACCUCUAGUUCUCCUAUCUAUUACUCCCAGUCAGUCCAGGGUAGAUUCACCAUCUCCAGAGAUGACUCCAGUGCCCACGUCUAUCUACAGAUGAACAGUUUGAAGACUGAGGACACAGCAGUGUAUUUCUGUGCCAGAAGACACACAGUCAGAGACAGUAAUAGGAGAGUCAUACAAAAACUACCUCCUCUUUUUUACCACCACCACUGGGAAUAUGAGCAGCUGCACAAGGGUUAAUACUUUUUCUUACAG
Non-coding RNA from Lates calcarifer (barramundi perch), 511 nucleotides. Lineage: Eukaryota; Metazoa; Chordata; Actinopteri; Centropomidae. The record is from the annotation of a RefSeq genome assembly.